Molecule: ribosomal RNA, 757 nt
Filed under: Photobacterium angustum
Lineage: Bacteria; Pseudomonadati; Pseudomonadota; Gammaproteobacteria; Vibrionales; Vibrionaceae
Also listed under: 1 other name
Description: bacterial SSU rRNA
Rfam family: Bacterial small subunit ribosomal RNA
Source: RNAcentral
CCCUUAGAGUUUGAUCCUGGCUCAGAUUGAACGCUGGCGGCAGGCCUAACACAUGCAAGUCGAGCGGUAACAGAUUGAUAGCUUGCUAUCGAUGCUGACGAGCGGCGGACGGGUGAGUAAUGCCUGGGAAUAUGCCCUGAUGUGGGGGAUAACUAUUGGAAACGAUAGCUAAUACCGCAUAAUCUCUUUGGAGCAAAGAGGGGGACCUUCGGGCCUCUCGCGUCAGGAUUAGCCCAGGUGGGAUUAGCUUGUUGGUGGGGUAAUGGCUCACCAAGGCAACGAUCCCUAGCUGGUCUGAGAGGAUGAUCAGCCACACUGGAACUGAGACACGGUCCAGACUCCUACGGGAGGCAGCAGUGGGGAAUAUUGCACAAUGGGGGAAACCCUGAUGCAGCCAUGCCGCGUGUAUGAAGAAGGCCUUCGGGUUGUAAAGUACUUUCAGUUGUGAGGAAGGCAGUAAAGUUAAUAGCUUUGCUGUUUGACGUUAGCAACAGAAGAAGCACCGGCUAACUCCGUGCCAGCAGCCGCGGUAAUACGGAGGGUGCGAGCGUUAAUCGGAAUUACUGGGCGUAAAGCGCAUGCAGGUGGUCUGUUAAGCAAGAUGUGAAAGCCCGGGGCUCAACCUCGGAACAGCAUUUUGAACUGGCAAACUAGAGUACUGUAGAGGGGGGGUAGAAUUUCAGGUGUAGCGGUGAAAUGCGUAGAGAUCUGGAAGGAAUACCCGGUGGGCGAAGGCGGCCCCCCUGGACAGAUACUG